CUUCUCUUUACCCAGCAAAGUGCCUCCUCCAAGGUCCCAGAACCAUUGAGGGUGUUUGGGGGGUUGUGGGGCUGGGAGUAGAGAUUGCAUGAAUGAAGACUGGACCACUCCCAGGACUAGACCAGAGAACAGGAGACUUGCUACCGACUGACUAUUGUAUUCCUACUACUGGACCUCUAGUAGGUGUUAGCACCCGUCUCUUGAGCAGAGACCCAAGAGGUAGGACAGGAAGACUGGAAGUGAGAUUUGGCCCUGGUCAUAUUUUCCAAAGUGCUGACACCAGGACAAUAAUAUAAGUUGACACAGAUAUGGGGCUGCCACUGAGGAGAGAGAAGACUGAAAGAAGCACAUAGAUAAAAGGUAGAUAGGUUCUGAGGAUGAGGGCUAAUUUUCAGCUGGCAGAAUCAGGGGCUGCUUCAAGGAGGAGGUGGCCACUGAUAUAAACUGUCGUUUUGGGAAGAGUUAAAAUUAAUAGUUGUUAUUUAGGCAAUUUGACUAUUAAAAAAUUUAAAUGUACAUAUCCUAUUGCAUGAUUCCAUAGCAACUACACUUCUAGGAAUUAUUAUGUGAAAGUACUCACACGAGAAUAAAAAUGUAUAUUUAUCAAUAGUGAAUUAUGAUAUAUCCAAAUAAUAGAAUACUAUAUCAACUUAAAAAUAAUAUCUUUUUGU
Molecule: long non-coding RNA, 671 nt
Organism: Cercocebus atys (sooty mangabey)
Lineage: Eukaryota; Metazoa; Chordata; Mammalia; Primates; Cercopithecidae
Exons: 3
Source: RefSeq, a predicted model, not a curated record